ACGGGGCUUAUGUCUUGUAUUGGGAUGAUGGGAAUUUAAACCUCUUCCAGAGUAUCAAUUGGAGGGCAAGUCUGGUGCCAGCAGCCGCGGUAAUUCCAGCUCCAAUAGCGUAUAUUAAAAUUGUUGCAGUUAAAAAGCUCGUAGUUGAAUUUCUGCUGCAUUGCAUUUUCUCCUAUACGAGUUUUUGCAUUGUGGCUUAUUUCGGUUAUAAAAUUUAUUUUUAUUUCCGGAUGUUUACUUUGAGAAAAUUAGAGUGCUCAAAGCAGGCUUUUGCCUUGAAUAGUUUAGCAUGGAAUAAUAAAGUAGGACUUUGGUUCUAUUUUGUUGGUUUUAGGUACCAAAGUAAUGGUUAACAGGAACGG
RNAcentral lists this ribosomal RNA (362 nucleotides) under Theileria capreoli. RNAcentral's name for it is "SSU rRNA". It matches the Rfam family "Eukaryotic small subunit ribosomal RNA", at positions 484 to 881 of the family's 1831-position model. The record is from RNAcentral. Lineage: Eukaryota; Apicomplexa; Aconoidasida; Piroplasmida; Theileriidae.